UAGGGAAUCUUCGGCAAUGGGGGCAACCCUGACCGAGCAACGCCGCGUGAGUGAAGAAGGUUUUCGGAUCGUAAAGCUCUGUUGUAAGAGAAGAACGUGUGUGAGAGUGGAAAGUUCACACAGUGACGGUAACUUACCAGAAAGGGACGGCUAACUACGUGCCAGCAGCCGCGGUAAUACGUAGGUCCCGAGCGUUGUCCGGAUUUAUUGGGCGUAAAGCGAGCGUAGGCGGUUUAAUAAGUCUGAAGUUAAAGGCAGUGGCUUAACCAUUGUUCGCUUUGGAAACUGUUAAACUUGAGUGCAGAAGGGGAGAGUGGAAUUCCAUGUGUAGCGGUGAAAUGCGUAGAUAUAUGGAGGAACACCGGUGGCGAAAGCGGCUCUCUGGUCUGUAACUGACGCUGAGGCUCGAAAGCGUGGGGAGCAAACAGG
RNAcentral lists this ribosomal RNA (429 nucleotides) under bacterium. Its description in RNAcentral is "partial 16S ribosomal RNA". It matches the Rfam family "Bacterial small subunit ribosomal RNA", at positions 355 to 776 of the family's 1533-position model. The record is from RNAcentral.